CCCGGCCCCGCCCGCCCCGGGGCCCCGCGCCAGGUGCAUUCCCGGGCACGCUCCGCCGCUACCGGCGCGCCGCGAUGGAGCCGCACCGGGAGCGGCGCCGGGCGCUGCUGCUGCUGCUGCUGCCGGUGCUGCUGCUCCGCGCCCCCGCGCCCGGCUCCGCGCAGGCAGGUGAGCACCGGCACCGGCACCGGCACCGGCACCGGUACCGGCACCGGCACCGGCACCGGCACCGGCGGGGCGCGGGGGAAGCGGGGCUGCGCCGCGGCAGCGGGCAAAGGGGAACCGGCAGAACACCGGAGCGCUCGGGGGCCGCGGCGGUGCUGCCGCCCCGAUUCCGCCGGUACCGGACCCCGAUCCGAUCCCGGUGAUUCCCGCGGGUGUUUCCGCAGCGGGGGCGUCCCGGGAUCCCCCGGGGGAACCGCACGGCUCCGGGGGCACCGGGACCGGCACUGAAACUCCCCGGGACUGCGGCUCCGGCGGGGCCGGGGCUCGGUGGCCGCUCCCGGGCUCGGUCCCGGAGCUUGGUGCCCCUUUCCGGGACUCGGUCCCGGGCUGGGUGGCCGCUCCCGGGGCUCGAUGCCCAUUCUCGGGGUUCAGUCCCGGUCUCGGUGCCCCUUUCCGGGAUCCUCCCGUGCUCGGUUCCCCCUCUCGGGAUCCGUCCCGUGCUCGGUUCCUCCUCCCGGGGUCGAUCCCGUUCUCGGUGCCCUAUCCCGGAUUCGGUCCCGGGGCUCGGUGCCCGUUCUCAGGGCUCGGUCCCGCUCUCGGUGCCCCUCCCGGGGCUCGGAGCCCCCUCCCGGAUCCUGUNNNNNNNNNNGUCCGGCUCUCGGUGCCCCUCCCGGGGCUCGGAGCCCCCUCCCGGAUUCUGUCCAGCUCUCGGAGCCCCCUCCCGGGCUCGGCACCUGCGGCCCCGCAGCUGCCCGCGCUAAUUUUAGGCUGCGGGGCCGAGCCCGGCGAUGCUUCUGAGAUCCGGGCGGGGACCCCCGAGGGGGGACGGGGGGGAUCCUCCAAGGGGGGACCCCCGGAGGAGCCCCCGGCCCUGCCCGCGAGGCCGCCCCGCACCCCCGGCACCCCGGAAGGGCCG
Molecule: long non-coding RNA, 1081 nt
Filed under: Chloebia gouldiae (Gouldian finch)
Lineage: Eukaryota; Metazoa; Chordata; Aves; Passeriformes; Passeridae
Description: Erythrura gouldiae (Gouldian finch) lncRNA (ENSEGOG00005010665.1)
Source: RNAcentral